This 481-nucleotide ribosomal RNA is filed under the name uncultured bacterium. RNAcentral's name for it is "bacterial SSU rRNA". It matches the Rfam family "Bacterial small subunit ribosomal RNA", at positions 487 to 964 of the family's 1533-position model. The record is from RNAcentral.
UAAGCAGCCAGGCUAACUCUGUGCCAGCAGCCGCGGUAAUACAGAGGGUGCAAGCGUUAAUCGGAUUUACUGGGCGUAAAGCGCGCGUAGGCGGCUAAUUAAGUCAAAUGUGAAAUCCCCGAGCUUAACUUGGGAAUUGCAUUCGAUACUGGUUAGCUAGAGUGUGGGAGAGGAUGGUAGAAUUCCAGGUGUAGCGGUGAAAUGCGUAGAGAUCUGGAGGAAUACCGAUGGCGAAGGCAGCCAUCUGGCCUAACACUGACGCUGAGGUGCGAAAGCAUGGGGAGCAAACAGGAUUAGAUACCCUGGUAGUCCAUGCCGUAAACGAUGUCUACUAGCCGUUGGGGCCUUUGAGGCUUUAGUGGCGCAGCUAACGCGAUAAGUAGACCGCCUGGGGAGUACGGUCGCAAGACUAAAACUCAAAUGAAUUGACGGGGGCCCGCACAAGCGGUGGAGCAUGUGGGUUUAAUUCGAUGCAACGCGG